UGCAGAAAUCAAAGGUUUCCCUGUUCCAGCUCCUCCCUGGAAGAUCAUUGCAGUGAUUCUGGGGAUCUUCUGCCUGAUAUUGUUAGGAGUCUCAGUGGCCUUGGCUAUCAAGUAACCUGUUCCUGGGGAUCCAUACAGAAGAACACUGG
Molecule: long non-coding RNA, 149 nt
Organism: Mauremys mutica (yellowpond turtle)
Lineage: Eukaryota; Metazoa; Chordata; Testudines; Geoemydidae
Exons: 3
Source: RefSeq, a predicted model, not a curated record